This is a long non-coding RNA of Nerophis ophidion (straightnose pipefish), 773 nucleotides long. RefSeq lists it as uncharacterized. NCBI's taxonomy places the organism in Eukaryota, Metazoa, Chordata, Actinopteri, Syngnathiformes, Syngnathidae. The transcript is spliced from 3 exons. The record is from RefSeq and is a predicted model, not a curated record.
GUUGGUCGUCGUGGCGUCAUCACUCUGGUUAUGUAUCACUCUGCUUCAUGCCAUGUUUACCGUUUCAUGCCAUUUCAUAGUUCAUGCUGCUCUGCUCUUUUCUUUCCAAGCCACUUGCUCUUCCUCCUGUCUGAUGUCUUUUCAGGCUGUAUAGCUCGGUUGGGGGCAGCACGAUGGCAGAGGGGUUAGUCCAGGGGUCACCAACGCUGUGUCCGACGGCACCAGAGUAUUUCGUCUGAUCGUGUACCUCCAGCUGUCUUGUCCAAGUCGAUAAGUAUUGCCUUGUUUUAUUCUUUGCUUUCUUUGUACCCUCUGAAGAAAAGUGAUUUUGAUUUGCUGAAGAUCAGGUUUUUUUGAGCUAGUUUCAUAGUGCUCUGCCUUCUUUUUUCCCUCCUCUUGGAGUGCUUUAAUUUGUAGUUUUCUUAGCCCUAUGUAGUUCUGUUUAUAGCUUUUUGUCUCUUCUUCGUGACCAAUUUUCUUGUGGUGCAGUUAAUCGUAGAUUGUUGUUUUUUGAUUAUUAGAUCCGCUUUUUUUCUCCCUCGGGAGAGAUUUUCCGUUUAUUAACAGUUUCCGUUUUUACUCUAGUGUUCAAGUCAAGAGUUCAUAGCCAUUUGUUUAUUCACUCUAUCUGAAAAGAGUUCUCAGAAACUGUUGAAUAAACAGCCUGCGCCAAUCAUUUCCCGUCUGCAACUGAGUCCUGAUUCUUGUCCAAGCCUAACAUAUGAGAAAAUGGAGAAAAUGAUCAAACCAAAAAUCGGGGGGAAAUAUGGAAG